Long non-coding RNA from Oncorhynchus mykiss (rainbow trout), 780 nucleotides. RefSeq lists it as uncharacterized. The record is from RefSeq and is a predicted model, not a curated record. Lineage: Eukaryota; Metazoa; Chordata; Actinopteri; Salmoniformes; Salmonidae.
AAUGGGGACUUUUAAUUUGAAAACGUGCAGGAUACCUCUUUCCGGUUUCCCUGACUUCUGUUUUUUUAAUACUGUGUUAUUCUUGUUUGGGUAGCACCCCUCACAGGCCGUUUGGUGUACGUUUUUUUUUUGAUGGUAUAUUCAACCUUUUGGCAGCUAUCAGGAUCCAUAGUGGAGAGACGCAGCGCAGCUUCUCUCCAACAGCACCAUGGGGAGGCGUGCUGGGCAUCGACAUAAUACAUAUUUUGGGCCUGUGACUUUCGCAAAGUGGGCGCUGCUUAUCAAGGGGCGACAUCAGCGCUCUGCUUAAUAGCUCAUAUGCAACUGGGUAAAUAUGAACCAGGAAAUGAGAAAUCAAAGGCCAGACUGUAGCAAACACCACGGUGGUAGGAGACAGGUGCAAAGGCCACCACGAAGGACUCUGGAAAACCAAAAAAAGACAACUCUCUCAACCAUGCUGAUAUUAAAGAGUAAAUCUCUUGUUAAAGAGACUUCUCUUGUUUAGCAUUGCACAUGUUUAAACGACUCCUCUUUCGUGUAUACGUUUUAAGAUAUUCAAUGAAAAAAAAAACGGUAUGAUUCUGGCAUUGUGAAUCCUAUUUUUUUUACUAUUAUUUAAUAGUUAGACAGAAGAUUGAAAACCUUACAUAGACUUGUUUCUACUGUAUUAUUGACUGUAUGUUUGUUUUACUCCAUGUGUAACUCUGUGUUGUUGUAUGUGAGUCGAACUGCUUUGCUUUAUCUUGGCCAGGUCGCAAUUGUAAAUGAGAACUUGUUCUC